This 314-nucleotide unclassified non-coding RNA is filed under the name plant metagenome. RNAcentral's name for it is "partial contains 5.8S ribosomal RNA, internal transcribed spacer 2, and large subunit ribosomal RNA". The stretch from base 1 to 105 matches the Rfam family "5.8S ribosomal RNA", at positions 50 to 154 of the family's 154-position model. The record is from RNAcentral.
GAAAUGCGAUAAUUAAUGUGAAUUGCAGAAUUCAGUGAAUCAUCGAGUCUUUGAACGCACAUUGCGCCCCCUGGUAUUCCGGGGGGCAUGCCUGUCCGAGCGUCAUUGCUGCCCUCAAGCACGGCUUGUGUGUUGGGCUUCCGUCCCUGGCAACGGGGACGGGCCCAAAAGGCAGUGGCGCCACCAUGUCUGGUCCUCGAGCGUAUGGGGCUUUGUCACCCGCUCCCGUAGGUCCAGCUGGCAGCUAGCCUCGCAACCAAUCUUUUUAACCAGGUUGACCUCGGAUCAGGUAGGGAUACCCGCUGAACUUAAGC